Molecule: long non-coding RNA, 13003 nt
Filed under: Sarcophilus harrisii (Tasmanian devil)
Lineage: Eukaryota; Metazoa; Chordata; Mammalia; Dasyuromorphia; Dasyuridae
Description: lncRNA (ENSSHAG00000026778.1)
Source: RNAcentral
GGCCCAGAGCCGUGUUUACAUAAGACUAUUGGCCCUUCGAAGAGGCAAGACCCUCAUGCCUGCUGGCACACUCACUGCCCAGGAUGCCCCCAUGCUGCUGGGUCCCACUUCUGACUCUCCCAGACAUCUGCUCAGCUCCCACUACUCUAAGCCUGGCCCAGCCUUGCCCUUCCCCUCCUCAGGGUAGCCCCGGGGGCACGCUGCCAGGCUUAGUGUGUACAUCCAGCUCAGUCACUGGCUCCUAGAAUCCUAGGGUGGUAAACAGAGGAAAGAGUCUCAGAGCACAGGGUUUCUGACCCAGAAAGGACCUUGUGACACAGAAAACCAGGGUCAGAAGGGGGUCAAUCAAUCAAUCAAUAAGCACAUUUUACACACCUAUCAGAUGCCAGUCAUAGUGCCAGGGGAGGAGAGAAAACACAAAAAUUAAACAGCCCCUGACUUCAAGGAACAGACAUUCUCUCAAGGGAGACUACAUGGACAGACACAAGAAUAUACAAUAUGGAUAUGGAAAAUAAAUAGGAGGCAAUGGGGGAAGUUCUGGAGAGAAUAAGAAAGGCCUCUUCUAGAAGAUGGCAUCGGAGCUGAGCUUCCAACAGAGCUGGGUAAGAAGUGAAUGGGAGGGAAAGCAAAGCAGGGAUGGGGAGGAUCUUGGCAAAGGAUGGUCAGCCAAGACAAACAAUGCACCAGAGGGGGGAAAGUACAAGAGGUGGUGGGCACAGACUGUGCUGAAAAGACCCUUAGAACAGAGAAUGUCAGAGCUGGGAGGGCCCUUAGAACCCAGGAGGUCAGAGCUGGGAGGGCCCUUAGAACCCAGGAGGUCAGAGCUGGGAGGGCACUUAGAACUAGAGCCAGAAGACCUUUAGAAUAUAAAACUGUAAGGCUAAAAGGGUGUUUAAGAAAUAGACUAUCCAAACACAGUCUUUUCAAACUACCUUAGAGACCAGCUCCUUCCAUGUUACAGGUCAGAAUCUGGGGUCUGACCAGGUGUCUUCUCUGAGGUCACACAGCACAGUUAAAACUCCUCUCAAUGCCAAUCCCCCCAAAACCACUGGACUGAUUGAGGCAGAGGGCAGGGAGGAAAUGAGGGUCCUGCCCCCUGCCCAGAGGGCUCCCCUCUUCUCCCAUAUUUCUCUGUAAACUCUUCUCAUCCAUCUUUCUUCUUCUCAGAAUGACCUAGGCCAAAGGGGCUGCGCCACUGCAAGCAACCUCAAACUCCUGAGUAUUACUGAAUCAGAAUAAAGCGGAAUUGGGACAUGUCCAUCUCUUCAAUAAACACCAGUGAGUUUUUAUUACCUCUAAGAUUAAAUAAAAACUUCUGUUUUUCAUUGAAAGAUCUUACAAACAAGACUCCAGCUUUAUCAUGCAAUAUUUCCAACUUUGUUGAGCUAGAUGAGGUAGUGGAUAGGGCUCAGGAAAACCUGAGUUCAGAUCUAAAUCCAGACACUUAAUGUAUGACACUGGGCAAGCCAUUUCAUCUGUUUACCUCGAUUUCCCUAACUGUAAAAUGGGACUAAUAGCAGCACCUACCUCCUAGGCUUGUUGUGGAGAUCAAAUAAGAUACUAUUUGUAACAUACCUAGCACAUAGUAGGUGUUUAAAAAUACAUAUUUUCACACUUCUCAUCCUCUCUUGCAUGUUUAAUUACUCUCAGCUUGUUUGGAGUUAUUUUUUCUUAUGUGUGAUGCUCUUCUUUAUUUUUCUGGAUAGCACCUAGUGAUUAGUGCUGAAAGUAUUUUUAAAAAUUGAGUAGUGGGGAAAGCCCUGUCUGGAGUUAGGUGAACUCUAUUUUAGUAGAAACCCCAAUGCUAAGUCACUAGGAAACCCUGCGCAAAACAUUUUUUCACUCUGAGAUGAAUUCCCUCAUUCAUAAAAUAAAAGAGUUCUUUAAGGUCCCUUCUAGUUUUAACAUGCCAUGUUCUAAAAUUCAAUGUUCUAAGUCCCCUCCCAGCUCUGACAUCCUGGGCUCUAAGGGUCCUCUCAGCUCUGACAUUCCCUGUUCUAAGGGCCCUCCCAGCUCUGACAUUCUGGGUUCUAAGGGGAGGAGGAGAGCACCAGGUUUUCAGCUCUUUUCCUGCUGUUACAGCUGUUUGUGGCAGCACAACCUUAGAGAUCACAGCCUCUUAGAGGCUGGCCCUUAGAGGAGGUAAGGAAGCCUGCCAGAGCCAUCCCACUCAGCCGGCUGCCAAACCAGGCUGUAGCUGGGGCCCUGGGGAGCCCAUAGAAGGGCUUGGCUGGCAGUCACCCCCUCCUCCUAUCAGUUCACUCUUCCUCCAGUUCUCUGCACCCCAGAGAGAUGCUGAGAAGUUUGAACAAGACGGACAGAGGAGAAGGGUGGGGCUGGGUUCUGUGCUCCAUCUGAAACAAAUCCACCCUGGACAUCCCCAAAAUAACCCAAGGAGCCAUGCUUACGACCUGUACUGCCCAAAAUAGCUGCCAUGAAGGUCGACAAGCAGAGGAAGGGAGGGGAUGAACAAGGGGUUUCUCAGGAGCUGGCUUGAGAAGUCCUCAAUCUUUGGCCUUGGCUUCUCUUCCAAAUUUGCCAGAACAGAGAAAUGUGCCAAAAGACAUGAGUUCGAAUUCUGAGGUCUUUUUCUUUUAUUGUUUUUUUUUUUUCCCAAUUAUACAUGAAUUCUGGCUUCUGAACCAAUAUAGCUGUGUGCUCUGGCCAGGUUUCUGGACUUCCAAGUUUUCCAGAACACAGAGAUGUUCUAAAAGGUAUGAGGUUGAAUUCUGAGGUCUUUUCCCACUGUUUUCUUUUUUUCCUUGGUUACACAUAAAUUCUGGCUUCUGAACCAAUGUAGUUGUGUGCUCUGGCCAGGUUUCUGGACCUCGCAGUGGUCAUGAGUCUCCCUAUAAAAAGGAAUCAAAGCUAUCUGCAUUAUUUGUCUCAAAACCUUGUUCUGAGGCUCAAAUGAGACACAACACCCUCUCCUGACAGCUUCCUCCCUUCUAGGACUCUGUGGUCCCAACACACUAAAUCCCCAGUGUUUCUUUGAGAGCAAGACACUUCAAAUCUCAGCUCGGGGUAUGUUCUCUGACUAGAAUGCUCUCCCUCAUCAGCCCACUGGCUUCUUUCAAAUGCCAGCCAAAGUCUCACCUUCUACAGGAAGCCUUUGCUGACCCAUGCAAUGCUGGUACCUUCCCUCUGUUGAUUAUCUGCCGUAUAUUUUCCUGUAUAUACCUUGUGCGCACAUAGCUGUUUAAACAUUGUCUCCCUCAUUAGAUUGUGAGGGGAUUUUUUUUUUUGGCUUUCUCUGUAGCCCCGGUGUUUAGCACCCUGCCAGGCACAUGGGAGGCACUUAAUAUAUGCUUAAUUCAUCAUAUGAUCAUUUAAACCAUAAUUCCAAAUCCAUUUGUAAGGGACUCUACUGGUAGAGAUGGACAUUUCAAGAGAGCGCCAUCCCUGCUUGAAGUGGCUUUGGUGAGAUCUUGAGAGAGAAGAAAUUCUGCUCUGCUAGUUUUCAGAGAAAAGCUAGAAUUGCUGAAUACACAGCACAGUAAGAGGGAGAAGAUUCUAGCUGUAUUAGCAAUAAGAUCUGUGAUUGUUCAGUCAUUUUAGUCACGUCUGACUCUUUCUGACCCCAUUGGGGGACAAAAAUAAUGAAGCAGUUUGCAUUUUCUUCUUCAGCUCAUUUUAUAGAUGAGGAAACUGAGGCAAAUAAAAAUAAUAAGCAAUAACAGCUCCCAUUUUUGUAGUCUUUUAAGACAUGUGAAGAGCUGUACAUAUAACACUUCAAUUGAGCAUUAUAUAAGACUGAGGCAGAGACUAUUACAGAGAAGGAAAUUAAGGCUGAAAAAUUCAGAGACUUGCCCUAAAUAAUAUAGCUAAGAGCACCUGAUCCAGAUCUUCCUGAUUCCAAGUCUCUUCUCCAUAUUUCAGUACCUUCUUCCUCUUUUCCUAAUAACCCAAGGAUAUUUAAACAUAGUGUCAAACUCAUAGUAGCAGCACAACUACAAUGUAACUGGGAAUUGUUUAAUACAAAAAAAAAAAAAAUACAAUUCAACAUAGAUAAUGUUAAUGUGUAGUUUUCUAAGUCCGCUGCCAGCAAGGAACCAUGUCAAUUGACUGCUGUCACCUUAUAACACUGAAGGUAUACAAUUGCUGUGUUUAUUAGUCACCCUAACUGACUUCCAGCUUCCAAGAAUUCAUCCAGUGCUUCAGCCAGACUUCCUCGAAUCCAGUACACUCUCCCCACCCCAAGCUAUUGUUUCCUGUUUCCUUGUCCUGGAUCCUAAUUCUGUUCACAUUUCAAAGCUUGGCUCACAUCCUACCUUCUCCAAGAAGACUUUGCCAAUCAUAGGACGACAUUUAUUUUAAGUGCUAAAAGGUAUCUUGGAGGGUUUCUAAUACAAUCCCCUCAUUUUAUAGAGAUUGGAGCAAAUAGGUGACUUAUCUACAGUCACACAGGAAAGAAGAGGAAGACCUGAAAUUUCAACCAAGGCCUUCUGACUCCAAACCCAGAACUUUUCCCCUGCAUCAUGAUGGCAGCCACAUUUGAGACCAUAGUGAAUUAUUCCAGGAAGAAAGGAGAACGGAUCCCUCCUGUUUACAAUUUACAAUUUGAUAUAAUAGAAAGAGCCCUAAUCAUAAGCAAAUCAUAGUUUCAAAGGAUCCUGAAGGGGAGCCCUUAAAAGCCAUUGAAUUCAAUCCUUUCUUUUUUAGAGAGGGAAACUGAGGCACAGAGUGAUUAAAUGAUUUGCCUAGGCUCACUAAGAACCUGAGGCUGAAUCUGAAUCUUCCUGAUGAUUCCAAGGCGAGUGCUUCAAUCAUUAUAAUAUAUUGCCUUUCAAAGUAAUUAAGGUUCAAAACCUAGCUUAGCUGGGGUCCAUGAGCAAGUAACUUAUUCUCUCUGAGGUUAUAAAUUAAGGGAGUUGGCCCAAAUGACCUUUCCUUUCCUCUUUCUAACUUAUAAGUUGCAUGGUCUGUGUUAUGUAGCAUAAGAUAGAUGAGUAGUAAUUCACCUCCUAAGAGAAAGAACGGCUCAGGAUUCAGAACGCAGUAAAUGAAGGAAUAUGUUUUGCUUUACUGUCCAUAUUUCAUAUGCCCAUAUUUCUUCCUCAAAAGAAGAAAUGAAAGAAAAUAGAUUUUUUUCACUGAAAAAUUUUAAAAAGGUGAGCCAUGAAGGAGAGAGACUUAGAGUCAAUGAGCUGCCCCACAAGUUUCUCUUCCUGUCUGGGAAACACCACCUUGGCUCACAGCACUUCUAGUUUCCACCUUCUUGCCCUGGAUUGGUGCCCACCUGUCCUUAGAGACAGACAGGCCCAGCAGGAGCCUGGGAAUGGGAGGGCAGAGGAGGGUCUGGAGAGAGAAAACUCAAGCUCAGGGAUUCAGGUUACCGGAAACAGCAAAUCCCCUUGUCACUUCCACUAGAAAUGCCUCCCUCCUGGAGGAACAUCCUGUUCUGAUAGCUCACUGACCCUGACAGCCUAACUCUAGGAGUCUGGUCCCAAGCUCCUGAGACUAGUGGGUAAGGGGAGUUUGCAAACAGAGGUUGGAGCUUGAUCUGAUUGAGGAGGGUGACAAAGCCCUGCCAAGGAUCUGAUGCUACUGGCUAGCUCCUGCCCAGGGACAAUCUACAGUAGACUGAAGUGUCCUGCAAUAUUUAAUGAACCAAAGGGUCAUUCAUUGUUCUGGGAGGGACCUUAGAAAACAGAAUGUCAGAGCUGGGAGGGCUUUUAGAACACAAGAUGUCAGAGCUGGGAGGGCUCUUAGAACCAGGGAUGUCAGAGCUGGGAGGGCCCUUAAAAUCCGGGAUGUCAGAGGUGGGAGGGCCUUAGGAAACCUAUAAUAUGAUCUAUAUCCUAUCAUUUUAUAUAUUAUAAAACAAUAAAAAUGAUUCAUUGAGUUCCUAUGUUGUGUUCAGCACCUACUGAUGUUAUGGAACCAGUUUAGAUUGUGAAGGAAAAAAAGGGAGAGGGAAGGGUUACCUGCAAGUCCAGCACAUCAGCUCUGGGUUCUGCUUUCUCCCACUAACAUCUCCUGGCCACUCUGUGCCUCAGAAAACCUCGGGAGAGGAGUCACCUUAUCUGCUCCUGGGAAUCUCUAGCCUCCUUCACAGUUUAUCUCAAGCACCACCUCCUGCCAGAUGCCUCUCCUUAUCCCCCCUCCUCUUGUGCCUUCCUUUCACCUUACCUGGUCUUAACUCGACAUAUUUUCAUAUACUUGUAUGGAUAUAAUUUAUUUCUCAGCAGAAUGGAGGCUUUGGGGGGGGGCAUCCUGUUUCAGUUUCACAUUCAUAUGAAAUCCAUAUUUUCAAGCACCUAGUACGUGGUAGCUGCUUUAUGCUCACUGUUUUUAAAAAAUGGAAAGAACAAAAAAAAUCAUGCAACUGAAAGAUAUGUAAUUAUAAUGAUCAAACAUGGCCCCAGAGAAGAGAUGGGCAAAAUGCUCCUCCCUCCCUUCUCUGAAGAAGUAAGGAAUUAUGGGUGUAGAACUUUGUAUACACUUGUCAGACUCCAUUGACAUGUUGGAUUAGUUUUCUUGAACCGAUUUUUUUUCCCAUUUAAAAACAACAAUCUGUUACACGGAUUGGCUCAGUAGGAAGCAGGGAGGGAGGAAGAAUACAUUUGGAAAAAGACGGUAAUGUAAAAAUAAGAGAGCAAUACAAACUUUUAAACAUAGAUGAAAAGAUAAAAUAUCCAUUAAGUACUUAAUACGCGCAGAUUGAUUAAUCUUGUCCCAGUUUAGAAGCAUCCCCCUCCUCCUCUGGAAGAUCUCCCAGCACAGGUAGCCCCAUCAAGAGUUUCAGGGCAGUGCUCAAGGCCCCUCUUCCCUGCUCUGGCCCAUCAAUGUCCAGGCAUCUCAGUCCCAAGGCUAGGGGAGGGGGAAAAGGAAUGGUCCAAGGUGGUGGAGGUGAAACAUCGUCUCCUUUGUUAUCAGAGGUUCCAGACGGGGCCUGCUCACAUGGGCGAUGUGCCAGGGCUGGGGACUUGAGCCAAGUGCAGACAGCUUGCUUGGCGCCCAGAUACUAAUGCUGUGGGGCGGGCAGGCUGCCCACUGACCCCCGUCACAACAAUCCCUAAUCUCCACUCUGCCCAGGGCCAAGGCAUGUCAUGUUAGGGCUCGGGAGGGCUAUGGGAAUGGGGCCUCCUCAUGGGGCAAGCCUCCUCCCUUGCCCCCAGCCCCUUCCAGGAAACUGGGAGUGGGAGGUUGGGGGAAUUCCUGCGUACCCCAGCUGUGGUGCAGCAGAGCCCGGGGAGGGGCCGGCUGGUUGGGUGGGGAUGGCUCCGAAUUCCAGGAGAGGCCUGCUUGCCUGCCUGCCUUAGGGGGUGGCCGGUCACAGGGUUUGAAAAGCUACGGCCAAGGCAGGGGAGAAGGUGGGGGAAAGAAUUCCACGCCAGCUGCCGCCUGCCUUCAGCUGUUAGGGGGAGAUGAACAAAGCAGAAUCUCUGGACCCUGUUCCACGUUAAAGCGGGGCAGGUCCUUAGCCUGUGGUACCUCAGAACACUGGAAGGGGAAGGGACAGAAGCAGAGUCUUAGAGUGGGAAUGGCCGGAGGAGGGCAGCUGGUCCAUUACUGACCUGACCAGAACAUUCUCCUACCACAUCUCCCCAAAGCAGUCAUUCAGCCUUUAUCUGAUGGCCUCCAGUGAGUGUAGGUAUCGAAGUGCACAGAGUGCUGGGCCUGGAGUCAGGAAAACUCCUCUUCCUGAGUUCAAAUCCAGCCUGAGACACUUACUAGCCGUGGGACCCUGAGCAGGUUACUUAGUCCUGUCUGCCUCAGUUUCCUCAUCUGUAAAAUGAGUCCGAGAAGGAAAUGGCAAAUCAUUCCAUUGUCUCCACCUAGAAAACCUAAACGGGGUCACGGAGAGCCAGACACAACUGAAAAACAACUAAAAUAAAAGUUGGGAAUCGGCAACCAGGACCUUCCAGGACUUAUCAUUUUGGGGUAGCUGUAAUUAUUAGGAAGGACUUGGUGAUAUCAAACUUAUUUUGCAAAAUAAUAACAGUUACUACCAUCAAUAGCAGCCAGAAUUUAGAAAAGACUUCAAAGUUUGCAAAGCUCUUUACAAACAUUCUCUCACUUAAUUCUCACAACUCUGAAUGCAGGUGUUCCUACUUCCAUUACUAUCCCCAUUUUUUAGAUUUGGAAACAAAUCUUACUCUAAAUCUAGAGGCAGAGAUUAAUUGACUUGUCUAGAGUCAUAUAUCAAAUAGAGUCUAGGGUCUGGGAGAAUGGAUUUGAAUUUGUCUUCCCGACUAUUCAGUGCCCCCAGGCCUGUCCUUUAAGACUAAACAAAUUUAAUUUUCCAUGCACAAUGUCAGCCCUUUAAAUUCUAAAAUUUAGAAUUUUUUCUAAAUGAAAAGUUUUUUUCAAUUUAAUUUUUUUUUCAAUUAAUAAAAUUAUUUUCAAUUAAAGUUUUAAUUAGACUCUAUAACAAUAGACCUUUCUGAUAACAUAAUAGAAUAAUAUAAUCUAUUUUAAUAACAAUAAUAUUAUCUCAAGUUUAUGUAGUGCUCUACAUUUGAAGAUGCUUUACAUAUGUUAUCUCAUUUGAUCUUCACAGUAAUUUUAUGAGAUAAGUGUUACUAUUAUCCCCACUUUAUAGAUGAAGAAACUGAGGCUAAGUUUAAGUGACUUGUAUAGAGUCAUGCAGUGAUGGGUAUUUCUGAGGUAAGAUUUGCACUCAGGUCUUCCCAGUUCUAUUUCAUGUCAUUUAUCACUAGUCUGCACAGGUAGGUGGCAUGAAAGAUAGAGUGCCAGGCCUGCAUUCAGAUUUAUUUUCCUGAAUUCAAAUCCAGCCUCAGCCAUUUAGUAGCUGUGCUACCCUGGGAGAAUCACUUAACUCUGUUUGCCUUACUUUCCUAAUCUAUAAAAUGAUCUAAAGAAAGAUAUGAUAAAUCACUCCAAUAUCUUGGCUAAGAAAACCAAAUGGAGUCCCAGAGAGUUGAAAAAUGACCAAACAACCACCAAAAUCCACUGUUCUAUCCUGUUGUCAAUCAUCUAGUGCAUUACCUUCCCUUUCUGUUUUGCUCACUUAAAUCUGUUUGCCUUAUUUUCCUAAUCCAUAAAAUGGUUUAGAGAAAGAAGUAAUAAAUCACUCCAGUAUCUUGGCUAAGAAAACCAAAUGGGGUCCAAUUUGCAAAUGAAAUAUCUGUACCUUUAUUGAAAUCAUUGCUCAAAAGGUGAAAACAAUUGGCCAAGGAAGACGCCUCCUUGGAUGAUGACUUUUAACUCCCUUCCGUCACUUCCUCCCCACUCCAUCGGGUACUAAUUUGAGAUGUGCAGUACAAAUGGCUUCAUCUUUUCUACAAAGAUGGCAUAGCUUCUCUCAGUUAACGGCACUCUCCCCAUUAUACUAGUCUACUAUGCCAAAAAAGGAAAUGAGGUUAAUCUGGGCAUGACCCAUGCUUAAUAAAGCCAAGCUGACACUCUAUUAUCACUGCUUCCUUUUCUAGAUGUUCAGUAACCGUCCCUUUAAUAGUCUGUUCUGGAAUUUUGUCAAGAAUCAAAGUCCAACUCACUGCCUGCUCCUUUGCCUUUUUUGAAACUGAAGACAGCAUUUGUCCUUCUUCCAUCCCGUGACAACUCUCCAAGGUCUUUCAAAGGGCACUGAUAGCGGCUCUACAAUACCUGCCAAUUUUCUCAGUAUAGUUUUUGGGUCUGUGACCUGAACUUCUUGAGGGCAGCUGGGCACUCUCUUACACUCUAUUUAUUUUAGCUUCCAGUUGCUUCAUGGCCAUUUUUAUUCUCCCUCUCCCAUCUAGAGUCCACCCCCAUCCUCCUACCCCUGGAGGUCUUAUCUCUUAUCUCUUCUUUGAUCUUCCUCUUUUCUCCAAAAUAGAAUUAAAAAAAAACAAACCACCAAAAUCCUUUUUGGGUAUCCUUGGCAUUCCUUAGGAGCCUCAGCUCAAUCUGAGCUAUGCCCCAUCUGUCCCUUGUUCUAGGGAGCACCACCGAGUGACAACCGUCCUCUACUGACAAAGCUUGUUCCAGUUUUGGACAGUACAAAGGAUAGUGUGACCUAGUGGACAGAGUCAAGUGAAAAUCAGAUAGAUCCGAGUUCAUACUGGCUGGUAACCACAGGCCAAUAACUUCUCAAAAGCCUAGACAAAUCUCUGUGAUUUUAAUGAGAGGAAAGAGGGGAGGGGAAGGGAGAGGGCUAGAUUCUGCCCUUGGGCUAAGGCAAACCUCAUUCCUUCCUCUGCCCCUGCCGGACUCCCAGGAGUCUUUUUUGGGGUCAAGGAAGAAGCCCCAACCUCACGUUUCCCUGUCAGGACAGGGUUACAGGGCACUAAUCAUCAUUUGGAGGUCCACAUUCCUUCCUUAAUGGUAGAUUGAGGGCCUCCCUCCUGUCAGCAAGUAUUCAGGACCUCUUUCCUUUAUCUCUUGGGGUAGGGAAGGGAGGGACCCAACUGGGAAGGGAUGAGUAGGAUGAAGAAUUAUUAUUCCCCCCCUUCCCCAGGGCCGGUCCUGGAAGCUCUGACAGCCACACCAAACCGGCCUGGCAACAGCCUCCCUGCUGGGCUCAGCCGCUUUUGGCCUUCCAUCUCCUUAUAAAGCAGCUGCCCUGGUGCUUUUUUCUCUUAGCACAGUUUAAUUUUAUACAGAGCAAAGGCACUCUUCAGUCCCUUCUGCCUCACCCUGCCCCGCUGAAUACAUUCCUCCCAGAUCAACAUUACCUAAUUUAACCAUGGUCCCCGAGCCCUGGGCUCUCUCAAAAUAGCAGCUGCCAAAGGGGGAAAAUACCCUAAUGCUAUCAAAAUAAACAAUCUCCCCACUCCCUGGCCUGCCCUUAGUCUGCCUGGCCUGGCCUGGCCUUGCUUGGGAGGAGGCCCCAGGGCCCUAAUUUGAGGGGAACCAAGAAGAAAACUCAAGUCCUGUUUUGUACAUCUUGCCUAGUUCUUCUGCCGCCAUUUCUGGUAAGCAGAGAGCUCCAUCAGCUCAGGACCUCUUUCCAUAACUUCCUCUGCCUUCCCUCCCUUCUACUUGCCUCAUUCAUCUCCUGGGGGGGGGGGUAUCCAUCUAAUCCUGAUAGCUAUGAACAUGGCCCUUCACCCAAGCCUUUGAAUACUAACUGUUCAGCCAAGGUCAGUCCUAGGAGAAUCACAAAAUAUCAGAGCUAGGAUAGGAAAACAUUUAUUAUUAUUAUUAUUAUUUGAUCAUCACAUAAUCUUGCUGUUGCCAUGUCCAUUGUUCUUUUGAUUCUACUCACUUCCUUAGCAUCAAUUCAUGUACAUCUCUCCAGACCUUUCUGAAAUCAUCUUCCUGAUCAUUUCUUAUUCCAUCACAUUCAUAUACCAUCACUUAUUCAGCCAUUCUCCAACUUAUGGGCAUCCACUCAGCUUCCAGCUUCUGGCCACUACAAAGAGGGCUUCCACAAGCAUUCUUGCACAAGUGGGUCCCUUUCCCUCUCUUGUGAUCUCCUUGGGAUACAGUCUGGAUCAAAGAGUAUGCAGUUUGAUAGCCCUUUGGGCAUAAGAACAAGCAUUUAUUAAGCACCUACUAUGUAUCUGGCUCUGAGCUAUAUUCUUUACAAAUAUUAUCUUUGCUCUAAGGAGUGUCCUUAGGAUAUAGAAUGUCAGAGCCAGAAGGGGGUCCUGGAGUAGGGGUACUCAUGGAUUGAUUUCAAGGGGAUCUAUAAGCAUGGAUGGAGAAGAAAAAGGACAUGUUAACUGGAAUACUACUGAUAUUCUUUGCAAUCCUGUGGAUUUUUAUUAUAUGCAUCUAAUAACAUUACUCAGAGAAGGGGUCCCUAAGUGGCCCCAAACCAACGAAGGAGUGAGUCCACGACAUAACAAAGGUUCGGAAUUCCUGCCUCAGAGCACAGAGUGUCAUGGCGGAAAGUAGGAUCACCGCCCACUGCUAGUCCCUUCUAUCCUAAGAAUCAUCUUUCACUUAUACAUUUGUGUGUCAGAAGAGUAUAUCAUUGUCUCCUCUGAUAGAAUAUAAGCUCAUUGGAGGCAGGGGUAAUUUUGGGUUUUUUUCUUUGCAUUCCUGGCACCUAUCACAAUGCCUGACAUAGGCAGGUGCUUAAUAAAUGCUUGCUUUCCUCCUGGCUCUGCUUCUGACUUGCCAAGCUUCACCACCAUCCAUCAGCCUCACCAUGGAACUUCCCACUGGUAUACUGGCCCCCUUUUUCCAUUGGUGAUCUCUUCCCAGGGCCUCCACUUUGGAGAACGACUAACCUUUUUUUCCUCCUGGCUUUGCUUCUGACUUUCUGACCAUGCCCACUUCUAUGUCUCCACCACCAUUCCCCACAACCCCUUUUUCUUGUGUAUACCAAAGGUUUAACACAGUAACAUAGCUGGAGAUUAAUAAAUGUUUACUGACUUUAUGCUCAUAAGAUGGCAAGAUACUCAAAAGCAGGGAUUGUCUUUCUUUUUUUUGCUUGGGUUGAUCAUUCCGAUACUUAGCACAGUGCCUGAUAUAUAGUCAGUGCUUGAUAAAUGUUUGUUGCCUUGUUCAUUGAUUAAUCAUUAAGAGCUGGAAGAGUCCUUAGGGCAUUGCCUAUGAGAGCUUAGAGGGAUUUUAGAACAGGGAAUGUUAGAAUUUAAUUCAUCAGAGAAUUGAAAUCUUAGGACAUUAGAACUAAAAGGGACCUUACACACCGCCUAAUUCCUGCAUUUUGCUGCUAAGGACACUGAGGCCAAUGAACAAAUAGCUCAUCCAAGAUCAUAUCAAUCCUUCAGUAAACAGGGAUCUCACUGAAACUCAGUCACUCCUCCUGAAACCUGGGUUCCUCUGGAAAAUUCUCCACUGGGAUGAUCUAGGCAGAGCUGUUCCUACAUGACAGGCCCAUUUCCCUAGCCAGUCAUCCAUCUCUUUGCAUCCUUAUCUUUCUGGCAAUAUUUGCCCAUCCCCACCCCAGCCUCCCUUCCCCCUCCCUCCCCUCUUCUUCUGUCUCUCUCUCUCCUGUGUGUGUGUGUAUGUGUGUGUGUUUCCUCUCUCUCUCUGUCUCUGUGUGUGUGUGUGUGUGUGUGUCUCUGUCUCUCUCUCUCUGUCUGUCUGUAUCUCUCUCUCUCUCUCUCUCUCUCUCUCUCUGUCUCUCUGUGCCUCUGUG